GAACGGACCUGGCCAUCAUGAGUCAGUGGCGUACGGGUGAGUACACGUGGAUCAUCUACCUCCUGGUGGGGAAACUUUGGGAAACCGAAGCUAAUACCGCAUAAUUCCGAAAGGAGAAAUGCUCAAGUCGCCGGGAGAGGAGUCCGCGGCCGAUUAGCUAGUUGGUAGGGUAAAAGCCUACCAAGGCAAAGAUCGGUAUCCGGCCUGAGAGGGCACACGGUCACUCUGGCACUGAAACACGGGCCAGACUCCUACGGGAGGCAGCAGUGGGGAAUCUUGCUCAAUGGGGGAAACCCUGAUGCAGCGACUCCGCGUGAGCGAUGAAGCCCUUCGGGGUGUAAAGCUCUUUCGACAGGAACGAUAAUGACGGUACCUGUAUAAGACUCUGCGGCUAACUACGUGCCAGCAGUCGCGGUAAU
RNAcentral lists this ribosomal RNA (419 nucleotides) under uncultured bacterium. RNAcentral describes it as "bacterial SSU rRNA". It matches the Rfam family "Bacterial small subunit ribosomal RNA", at positions 64 to 524 of the family's 1533-position model. The record is from RNAcentral.